UCCAUAUCCGCAAGAUCUUGCUUGUAUAGUAGUUCAGCCCCUGAAUUCUUGCAUCUUCUUGGACAAAGACCGAACUGACCGCUACAUAUGAGGCUGACAAGAAUAUAUAUAAUUUUUCACUUAUUGUUGGUUUGAAAAGCAGCGAAGGUAUUUUGAGGUACUUCUUGAGAUCUUCAAAUACAGCUCGACAUUCCUCCAAUCAGUAAAAGUUCUUCAUUAGCCUCAAGAUUUUAAAAAAUGGAAGAUACUUCUCGACCGACCUUGAGAUAAAUCGAUCGAGAGCCACUACCUGACUGGUAAGGCAUUGCACAUCCUUCUUGGUACUCAGAUUUUCAUCUCCAAUAAUGUUUGGAUCUUCUAUGAAUUUGUUUCGAUCCCGUGCUGUAUCACCAUGAACCUAGGAAUUUUUUUGAGGUCACGCCAAAAGCAUACUUCUUGAGAUUGAGCUUCAUCUAGUGCUAUCUUAGUUCACCAAACGCUUCUUCGAGGUCGAUUAUAUACUAAUUUUUUUCAAUGCUCUUGACUAGCAUGUCAUCGAUGUAGACCUCUAUGUUGUGACUGAUAUGAUGUUUGAACACCUAUUG
Molecule: long non-coding RNA, 584 nt
Filed under: Elaeis guineensis (African oil palm)
Lineage: Eukaryota; Viridiplantae; Streptophyta; Magnoliopsida; Arecales; Arecaceae
Description: long non-coding RNA (EGUI_LNC033192)
Source: RNAcentral